GCCAUUUCUUCUCAUAGGUUCACUUUCAUUUUGGAUUGCUUUAAAUCUUAAAGGCAUUAAGAUGUUAGUAAAGUGCUGUUGAUGCCAAGAGCAAGAGCUAUUCGAUUUUCUUUUUAUNNNNNNNNNNNUGUUGCUAACUGUUUUGACUUUGUCACUCUUAGCCUUCCCCAACUUGAUCUUUGUGACCACCCAAAAUAAAAUAUCCAAACUGAAUUAAUUUUCCAGUUCUCUA
This 232-nucleotide unclassified non-coding RNA is filed under the name Hevea brasiliensis (rubber tree). Lineage: Eukaryota; Viridiplantae; Streptophyta; Magnoliopsida; Malpighiales; Euphorbiaceae. The record is from RNAcentral.